This 449-nucleotide ribosomal RNA is filed under the name uncultured bacterium. RNAcentral describes it as "partial 16S ribosomal RNA". It matches the Rfam family "Bacterial small subunit ribosomal RNA", at positions 354 to 796 of the family's 1533-position model. The record is from RNAcentral.
GUAGGGAAUCUUCCACAAUGGACGAAAGUCUGAUGGAGCAACGCCGCGUGAGUGAAGAAGGUCUUCGGAUCGUAAAACUCUGUUGUUAGAGAAGAACGUGCAUGAUAGUAACUGAUCAUGUAAUGACGGUAUCUAACCAGAAAGCCACGGCUAACUACGUGCCAGCAGCCGCGGUAAUACGUAGGUGGCAAGCGUUAUCCGGAAUUAUUGGGCGUAAAGGGUGCGUAGGCGGCUUGUUAAGUUUAUGGUGAAAGCGUGGGGCUUAACCCCAUUAAGCCAUAGAUACUGGCAGGCUAGAGUGUAGAAGAGGGCAGUGGAAUUCCAUGUGUAGCGGUAAAAUGCGUAGAUAUAUGGAGGAACACCAGUGGCGAAGGCGACUUUCUGGACGAUGUCUGACGCUGAGGCGCGAAAGCUAGGGGAGCGAACGGGAUUAGAAACCCCUGUAGUCC